RNAcentral lists this ribosomal RNA (119 nucleotides) under Pteropus alecto (black flying fox). The record is from RNAcentral. Lineage: Eukaryota; Metazoa; Chordata; Mammalia; Chiroptera; Pteropodidae.
GUCUACGGCCAUGCCACCCUGAACAAGCCCAAUCCCAUCUGAUCUCGGAAGCUAAGCAGGGUUGAGCCUAGUUAGUACUUGGAUGGGAGACCACCUAGGAAGACCUGGUGCUGUAGGCA